Non-coding RNA from Salvelinus sp. IW2-2015, 532 nucleotides. NCBI's taxonomy places the organism in Eukaryota, Metazoa, Chordata, Actinopteri, Salmoniformes, Salmonidae. The record is from RefSeq and is a predicted model, not a curated record.
UUGAAUUAUAGGCUAAUUUCUCAGCUAUUUAUCCCGUUAUUCUCAAAGCUCUAUGAUGGCUGUAGUAUCUGCGACCUCUAACGGCGCAGAUGAAAACCCCGUUGAGAUAAAAGAGGACAAAAAAGGAUGGUUAUCCAAGCGCACUCAUUUUACGCACCGGUGGAAACGCGCAUGGUUUCAGUUGAAAGAAACUCUACUGUUGUAUGGUGAAAAUGAAGAGAAGCUUCUGAAGCCCAUCAACCUGGUUGGGGCAGUGGUAGAGGUUGUUGAAGGAGGCGACGGAUCAUUCGAAUGGACUAUUACUCCUAAGGACAGGAAGCGGACCUUCUUCCUCCGGGCUGGCACCAUAGCAGAACAGCAGGGAUGGAUGGAGGCUAUAUGUGAAGCACAGCUGAGCUCCAGGGACCAUGCUACUAAUGCAUGUGUGGUGCAAUAGAUUAUCACUUAUUGGAUUUUACAUACCCUGAACAAAAAUAUAAAAGCAACAUGUAAAGUGUUUCAUGAGCUGAAAUAAAAGACCCCAGAAAUGUUC